UUAAGCGACUAAGCGUACACGGUGGAUGCCCUGGCAGUCAGAGGCGAUGAAGGACGUGCUAAUCUGCGAUAAGCGUCGGUAAGGUGAUAUGAACCGUUAUAACCGGCGAUUUCCGAAUGGGGAAACCCAGUGUGAUUCGUCACACUAUCAUUAACUGAAUCCAUAGGUUAAUGAGGCGAACCGGGGGAACUGAAACAUCUAAGUACCCCGAGGAAAAGAAAUCAACCGAGAUUCCCCCAGUAGCGGCGAGCGAACGGGGAGCAGCCCAGAGCCUGAAUCAGUGUGUGUGUUAGUGGAAGCGUCUGGAAAGGCGCGCGAUACAGGGUGACAGCCCCGUACACAAAAAUGCACAUGCUGUGAGCUCGAUGAGUAGGGCGGGACACGUGGUAUCCUGUCUGAAUAUGGGGGGACCAUCCUCCAAGGCUAAAUACUCCUGACUGACCGAUAGUGAACCAGUACCGUGAGGGAAAGGCGAAAAGAACCCCGGCGAGGGGAGUGAAAAAGAACCUGAAACCGUGUACGUACAAGCAGUGGGAGCACAGAGCAAUCUGUGUGACUGCGUACCUUUUGUAUAAUGGGUCAGCGACUUAUAUUCUGUAGCAAGGUUAACCGAAUAGGGGAGCCGAAGGGAAACCGAGUCUUAACUGGGCGUUAAGUUGCAGGGUAUAGACCCGAAACCCGGUGAUCUAGCCAUGGGCAGGUUGAAGGUUGGGUAACACUAACUGGAGGACCGAACCGACUAAUGUUGAAAAAUUAGCGGAUGACUUGUGGCUGGGGGUGAAAGGCCAAUCAAACCGGGAGAUAGCUGGUUCUCCCCGAAAGCUAUUUAGGUAGCGCCUCGUGAAUUCAUCUCCGGGGGUAGAGCACUGUUUCGGCAAGGGGGUCAUCCCGACUUACCAACCCGAUGCAAACUACGAAUACCGGAGAAUGUUAUCACGGGAGACACACGGCGGGUGCUAACGUCCGUCGUGAAGAGGGAAACAACCCAGACCGCCAGCUAAGGUCCCAAAGUCAUGGUUAAGUGGGAAACGAUGUGGGAAGGCCCAGACAGCCAGGAUGUUGGCUUAGAAGCAGCCAUCAUUUAAAGAAAGCGUAAUAGCUCACUGGUCGAGUCGGCCUGCGCGGAAGAUGUAACGGGGCUAAACCAUGCACCGAAGCUGCGGCAGCGACGCUGAUGCGUUGUUGGGUAGGGGAGCGUUCUGUAAGCCUGCGAAGGUGUGCUGUGAGGCAUGCUGGAGGUAUCAGAAGUGCGAAUGCUGACAUAAGUAACGAUAAAGCGGGUGAAAAGCCCGCUCGCCGGAAGACCAAGGGUUCCUGUCCAACGUUAAUCGGGGCAGGGUGAGUCGACCCCUAAGGCGAGGCCGAAAGGCGUAGUCGAUGGGAAACAGGUUAAUAUUCCUGUACUUGGUGUUACUGCGAAGGGGGGACGGAGAAGGCUAUGUUGGCCGGGCGACGGUUGUCCCGGUUUAAGCGUGUAGGCUGGUUUUCCAGGCAAAUCCGGAAAAUCAAGGCUGAGGCGUGAUGACGAGGCACUACGGUGCUGAAGCAACAAAUGCCCUGCUUCCAGGAAAAGCCUCUAAGCAUCAGGUAACAUCAAAUCGUACCCCAAACCGACACAGGUGGUCAGGUAGAGAAUACCAAGGCGCUUGAGAGAACUCGGGUGAAGGAACUAGGCAAAAUGGUGCCGUAACUUCGGGAGAAGGCACGCUGAUAUGUAGGUGAAGUCCCUCGCGGAUGGAGCUGAAAUCAGUCGAAGAUACCAGCUGGCUGCAACUGUUUAUUAAAAACACAGCACUGUGCAAACACGAAAGUGGACGUAUACGGUGUGACGCCUGCCCGGUGCCGGAAGGUUAAUUGAUGGGGUCAGCGCAAGCGAAGCUCUUGAUCGAAGCCCCGGUAAACGGCGGCCGUAACUAUAACGGUCCUAAGGUAGCGAAAUUCCUUGUCGGGUAAGUUCCGACCUGCACGAAUGGCGUAAUGAUGGCCAGGCUGUCUCCACCCGAGACUCAGUGAAAUUGAACUCGCUGUGAAGAUGCAGUGUACCCGCGGCAAGACGGAAAGACCCCGUGAACCUUUACUAUAGCUUGACACUGAACAUUGAGCCUUGAUGUGUAGGAUAGGUGGGAGGCUUUGAAGUGUGGACGCCAGUCUGCAUGGAGCCGACCUUGAAAUACCACCCUUUAAUGUUUGAUGUUCUAACGUGGACCCGUAAUCCGGGUUGCGGACAGUGUCUGGUGGGUAGUUUGACUGGGGCGGUCUCCUCCUAAAGAGUAACGGAGGAGCACGAAGGUUGGCUAAUCCUGGUCGGACAUCAGGAGGUUAGUGCAAUGGCAUAAGCCAGCUUGACUGCGAGCGUGACGGCGCGAGCAGGUGCGAAAGCAGGUCAUAGUGAUCCGGUGGUUCUGAAUGGAAGGGCCAUCGCUCAACGGAUAAAAGGUACUCCGGGGAUAACAGGCUGAUACCGCCCAAGAGUUCAUAUCGACGGCGGUGUUUGGCACCUCGAUGUCGGCUCAUCACAUCCUGGGGCUGAAGUAGGUCCCAAGGGUAUGGCUGUUCGCCAUUUAAAGUGGUACGCGAGCUGGGUUUAGAACGUCGUGAGACAGUUCGGUCCCUAUCUGCCGUGGGCGCUGGAGAAUUGAGGGGGGCUGCUCCUAGUACGAGAGGACCGGAGUGGACGCAUCACUGGUGUUCGGGUUGUCAUGCCAAUGGCACUGCCCGGUAGCUAAAUGCGGAAGAGAUAAGUGCUGAAAGCAUCUAAGCACGAAACUUGCCCCGAGAUGAGUUCUCCCUGACUCCUUGAGAGUCCUGAAGGAACGUUGAAGACGACGACGUUGAUAGGCCGGGUGUGUAAGCGCAGCGAUGCGUUGAGCUAACCGGUACUAAUGAACCGUGAGGCUUAACCUU
RNAcentral lists this ribosomal RNA (2904 nucleotides) under Escherichia coli. RNAcentral's name for it is "bacterial LSU rRNA". It matches the Rfam family "Bacterial large subunit ribosomal RNA". Lineage: Bacteria; Pseudomonadati; Pseudomonadota; Gammaproteobacteria; Enterobacterales; Enterobacteriaceae. The record is from RNAcentral.